AUUGAACGCUGGCGGCAUGCUUUACACAUGCAAGUCGAACGGUAACAGGCCGCAAGGUGCUGACGAGUGGCGAACGGGUGAGUAAUGCAUCGGAACGUGCCCAGUCGUGGGGGAUAACGCAGCGAAAGUUGCGCUAAUACCGCAUACGAUCUAUGGAUGAAAGCGGGGGACCGUAAGGCCUCGCGCGAUUGGAGCGGCCGAUGUCAGAUUAGGUAGUUGGUGGGGUAAAGGCUCACCAAGCCGACGAUCUGUAGCUGGUCUGAGAGGACGACCAGCCACACUGGGACUGAGACACGGCCCAGACUCCUACGGGAGGCAGCAGUGGGGAAUUUUGGACAAUGGGCGAAAGCCUGAUCCAGCAAUGCCGCGUGUGUGAAGAAGGCCUUCGGGUUGUAAACUGCUUUUGUACGGAACGAAAAGGUUUGGGUUAAUACCCUGGGCCGAUGACGGUACCGUAAGAAUAAGCACCGGCUAACUACGUGCCAGCCGCCGCCGUAA
This 498-nucleotide ribosomal RNA is filed under the name uncultured bacterium. Its description in RNAcentral is "partial 16S ribosomal RNA". It matches the Rfam family "Bacterial small subunit ribosomal RNA", at positions 30 to 523 of the family's 1533-position model. The record is from RNAcentral.